GGCUAACUCCGUGCCAGCAGCCGCGGUAAUACGGAGGAUCCAAGCGUUAUCCGGAUUUAUUGGGUUUAAAGGGUGCGUAGGUGGCCUGUUAAGUCAGGGGUGAAAGACGGUAGCUCAACUAUCGCAGUGCCCUUGAUACUGACGGGCUUGAAUGAACUAGAGGUAGGCGGAAUGUGACAAGUAGCGGUGAAAUGCAUAGAUAUGUCACAGAACACCAAUUGCGAAGGCAGCUUACUAUGGUUUGAUUGACACUGAGGCACGAAAGCGUGGGGAUCAAACAGGAUUAGAUACCCUGGUAGUCCACGCCCUAAACGAUGAAUACUCGAUGUUGGCGAUAUACGGUCAGCGUCUAAGCGAAAGCGUUAAGUAUUCCACCUGGGGAGUACGCCCGCAAGGGUGAAACUCAAAGGAAUUGACGGGGGCCCGCACAAGCGGAGGAGCAUGUGGUUUAAUUCGAUGAUACGCGAGGAACCUUACCCGGGCUUGAAAGUUAGUGAAUGAUCCAGAGACGGAUCAGCUCUUCGGAGCACGAAACUAGGUGCUGCA
This 546-nucleotide ribosomal RNA is filed under the name uncultured Bacteroidota bacterium. Its description in RNAcentral is "bacterial SSU rRNA". It matches the Rfam family "Bacterial small subunit ribosomal RNA", at positions 495 to 1045 of the family's 1533-position model. Lineage: Bacteria; Pseudomonadati; Bacteroidota. The record is from RNAcentral.